GAUAACAGUUGGAAACGGCUGCUAAUACCGCAUAAGCGCACGAGAGGACAUCCUCUUGUGUGAAAAACUCCGGUGGUACAGGAUGGGCCCGCGUCUGAUUAGCUGGUUGGCAGGGUAACGGCCUACCAAGGCGACGAUCAGUAGCCGGUCUGAGAGGAUGAACGGCCACAUUGGAACUGAGACACGGUCCAAACUCCUACGGGAGGCAGCAGUGGGGAAUAUUGCACAAUGGGGGAAACCCUGAUGCAGCACGCCGCGUGAGUGAAGAAGUAUUUCGGUAUGUAAAGCUCUAUCAGCAGGGAAGAUAAUGACGGUACCUGACUAAGAAGCUCCGGCUAAAUACGUGCCAGCAGCCGCGGUAAUACGUAUGGAGCAAGCGUUAUCCGGAUUUACUGGGUGUAAAGGGUGCGUAGGUGGCAGUGCAAGUCAGAUGUGAAAGGCCGGGGCUCAACCCCGGAGCUGCAUUUGAAACUGCAUAGCUAGAGUACAGGAGAGGCAGGCGGAAUUCCUAGUGUAGCGGUGAAAUGCGUAGAUAUUAGGAGGAACACCAGUGGCGAAGGCGGCCUGCUGGACUGUUACUGACA
Molecule: ribosomal RNA, 584 nt
Filed under: uncultured Lachnospiraceae bacterium
Lineage: Bacteria; Bacillati; Bacillota; Clostridia; Lachnospirales; Lachnospiraceae
Description: bacterial SSU rRNA
Rfam family: Bacterial small subunit ribosomal RNA
Source: RNAcentral